AUACGGAGGAUGCGAGCGUUAUCCGGAUUUAUUGGGUUUAAAGGGUGCGCAGGCGGGCGAUUAAGUCAGCGGUGAAAGGCUCGGGCUCAACCGGAGCAGUGCCGUUGAUACUGGUUGUCUUGAAUGCGGUCAAGGCCGGCGGAAUGUGGCGUGUAGCGGUGAAAUGCAUAGAUAUGCCACAGAACACCGAUAGCGAAGGCAGCUGGCCGGGCCUGCAUUGACGCUCAGGCACGAAAGCGUGGGGAUCGAACAGGAUUAGAUACCCUGGUAGUCCACGCUGUAAACGAUGGGCACUCGUUGUCGGCGACAGACAGUCGGCGGCCAAGCGAAAGUGAUAAGUGUCCCACCUGGGGAGUACGGUCGCAAGGCUGAAACUCAAAUGAAUUGGCGGGG
RNAcentral lists this ribosomal RNA (393 nucleotides) under uncultured bacterium. RNAcentral's name for it is "partial 16S ribosomal RNA". It matches the Rfam family "Bacterial small subunit ribosomal RNA", at positions 523 to 918 of the family's 1533-position model. The record is from RNAcentral.